RNAcentral lists this long non-coding RNA (1143 nucleotides) under Phoenix dactylifera (date palm). RNAcentral's name for it is "long non-coding RNA (PDAC_LNC014987)". The record is from RNAcentral. Lineage: Eukaryota; Viridiplantae; Streptophyta; Magnoliopsida; Arecales; Arecaceae.
CCCCUGUUUUAGAUUCCCUGCAUCCCAAAACAGAAUCCCAUGAUCCACGGGAUGAACCCAAAUCCAAUUCUUCCGGCAUCUCCUCUCAGCCAAGAACACCACCCCCCUGAUCCCUGCUGUUAACGAAGUCCCAAGCUACCCAUCCCGUGUCCGUAGAUUAAGCAUCCCAGCCUCAAAACAGAGUUCAUCCUUAUCCCACGGAUCUCCCAGCUUAAUCCCAGCCAAAUCCAACCUACCCUCCCAUGUCAUCCGUAUCAUCCCAGAUUUCCUCCAAGCUUCCAAGCCUUCUUCGCAUUCAACCAUUCCGUCUCAUCCUCCCGUUCGGAACGAAGUCCCAGAUUUCACGGCGUCCAAACAAGCUUCCUCUAUUGCGAAACCGAAGUAUCAAGGUCCCAUUCUUUCCAUGAUCCACCUUCAUCUUAAUCCUCCUCUUCCGACUUGAUUCCAAAGAUCCCCUUAUCCACGAUUCAUCCCAACGUCCCAGCUCCUUCCGCGACCGUGCAUCUCAGCGUGAUCCUCAUCCAGAUGCCAACUGCAAGUAUCCAAAGAACAGAGCAUCAGCUUAUCCACGAGAUAACCCGAAUCCCAGUUAUUCAACGAAUACAUCUCGGCAUUCCGGAUUGACGCCAGCCAACCACGAGGGAUCUCCCGUAUCCACGAAUAGAGCCCUCCACGUUGAAGCCCUUCCAGAUUCCUCUCAGCCCCUUGAUUUGAUGUUAUCCACUGGUAGAAGACUUGGAUAAAGCCAUGAGAAACAGUGGGCUAUAAAGAGCUAUCUGCCACUGCAUGGAGAGGCAUCGAAGGAUCAGCCAGGGCCUUCUUUCAUUAGCGUAACGCCAUCUUCUCCUCUCUCACGCCACCUUCUCCCAUGGAAGAAAGGGAUUAGCCAAAGCUCCCUCUGUCAUCAUGCCAGCCUUCUCAUCCAAUCUCUUCUCAGGAGUUCCCACCGAAGUAAAAAUGCAAGGAGAAGACAGAGAAAAGAAGGAGAUAACCGUGAUGGGUGCCCGCUGCUGUGCUUCUGCUGCCGUCCACCACUGCAUGAAAGCCUAAGCUCUGCACUAGGGCUGGAUGCAGCCCUAACAAAGGGCCAAGGAUUUUAUAUUUUAAUUUCCUAUUCCUGGAGUUGUAUAAACUUUAUGUUGC